AUGAAGAUACAGAAGUUGGUGGUGACUCCCAAGUAACGCAACAGAAGAAAUCAGAGGAGAAAUACGAGCAGUACUUAUUUGCAGCAAUGCUACCAGUGACAGGAAAGACACUUGGCCUUCCAGACAAGUCAGAAGAAAUCAGUGAAGGAUCAAUCUACGCCAAGAUUUACAGAAUAAAGGUGUGAUGAGAACAGACAAGUUGAAUGUACCAGAAGACUUCAUAGGUGAAGGAGCAGAGGACACAGGGCACUGCCAACAUCUCAGAGUCUGACCUCUUUCUGGCUGAAACAACAAGAAGGCUGUUUAAGUUGGCAAAGCAAGAAGAAAAAGGAAAACCAAACUUCCUUUCUGGGUCUACUUAGGAGGCCAGAUAUUUAACACAUAUUUAGUAAACAGAUUUUAAAAUAGCUUAUAACAAAUAGAUCUGUGAGUAUUGACUGAUAAAAGGACCCUUCCACAUGAAGCUCAAAACUAUGUAUUUUUUAAACUGCUAGUUAUUACGAAUAUUAGAGAUAGAUGACCUGUACUUUUCUCUGUGCUUUUCUUCACAGUUCAUCUCUGUUGGAUUUCUCUUUUUGUGAUGAAAUCAUAGUAUUUUACAAUGACAAGCCAGUGUAAUUAUCAUGUUAUGAAAACAGACCAUAGCAAAAAGUGAAAUGGACAAAAUGAGAAAAAUGCUCUGUGUACUUGACUGCUGUAAAUGAUUAACUGUUAGUUCUCUUUUUUACCAGGAAAAAAAA
Long non-coding RNA from Corvus hawaiiensis (hawaiian crow), 740 nucleotides. RefSeq lists it as uncharacterized. The record is from RefSeq and is a predicted model, not a curated record. NCBI's taxonomy places the organism in Eukaryota, Metazoa, Chordata, Aves, Passeriformes, Corvidae. The transcript is spliced from 4 exons.